Molecule: long non-coding RNA, 1047 nt
Filed under: Marmota monax (woodchuck)
Lineage: Eukaryota; Metazoa; Chordata; Mammalia; Rodentia; Sciuridae
Source: RNAcentral
CCACCCCUAGGAAUUCUAGGGUAAAUUAUCUCAUAUAUUAAUCUACCAAGUUUGUUAGGUUAGUAGAGUCUUACAGAAGAGGAAGGCUGAAGCCUUGGUAGGCUAAGGAAAUCAUAGCAGAGAUACACACGUCCAGCCCAGCAUUGACUGAGAACAGGCUGUAGGCCAGAGGAAGGCUGCAGGAAACAGGUGUUCAGAGGAAGGACUAGCUGAGUGUCUGAAACCCACUGGGGGUUGUGGCAUCCCUGGGCCAUAGCAAAAUGCUGAAGUAAAGCAGUUACUCCCCUGGUCUUUGGAACCAUUGUUCUCAGUAGGGUAGCAUUUGUGAUAUGGCAUCCAUUCUAGGAAGCCUGGACCACAUGGAGGCAGGCACCACCAAUGGCAGGAGCAUGGCUAAAAUGUGGUAUGUGUAUUGGUUAGCCUUUUCUCACUGUGACAAUACUUGAGGAAAAUAACUUAGAAAAGAAAUCAUGGAUUUUGGCUCUGGGUCUCAUUGCUCUCCAUUUGAUUAUGCACUGAGUCUGUCUAUAAUGACAUAAGUGUAUGGCAGUGGAAAGUUACUCAGCCUCUUGCCAAUCAGGGCAUAGAUUAGGAGAGAGAGAAUGAGGGUGAUAGAGGGAGGGAAAGAAAGAUAGGAGGAUGAGGAAUACUACUAGGAGAAUGAAGAUUAAGGGGAGCCAACUGGGAAAAUAUACACCUACCAAAGGCCCUCUUCUGUGCAGGUCUUUCUUCAACCAUGCCCAAACUAGCUGCAGUUCAUACCACCUCCCAGUAUUGUAUUCAUCUUGAAUGAGUAUUUCAUGAUAACAUCAGAGCACUCACCAUCGAAUGCUUCCCCCAAAACUGACCUAUGAUCAUUGCUGAAUUGGGGACCAGUCACUCAACAUUUGAGCCUUUUGCAGGAGAUUCUGGAUGCAAACCCUUGCAGUGUCCUAUGGCAGAUACAAGAGGAACUGAAAUGUUCUGCCAAAGCAGCAGAUAUUAUGUCUGUUGAAGUCAUUUUUUCCUCAGGAAGAACUAUUGAGGACAUCUUUGUAGGUAUUGGAG